UGUGAAGUGUGCUGUGCCAGGUGGAC
Molecule: non-coding RNA, 26 nt
Filed under: Homo sapiens (human)
Lineage: Eukaryota; Metazoa; Chordata; Mammalia; Primates; Hominidae
Source: RNAcentral